Molecule: long non-coding RNA, 2476 nt
Organism: Alosa alosa (allis shad)
Lineage: Eukaryota; Metazoa; Chordata; Actinopteri; Clupeiformes; Clupeidae
Exons: 2
Source: RefSeq, a predicted model, not a curated record
CCCACCCCCUCUCCACCACGCCUCCUCUCUACACCGAUGCCAUGCCAACGCCCUUUGACCCCUGCAGCGGUUCCAUGCUGAUGAGGUCAGAAGAGGACAAAGGGACAUGGAAACAAGCAAAUAAAUAAAUAAAUAAACAAACAAACGUACAAACAAAUAACAGUCUGCUUCAUCCACCACACCUGCGCCAAGGCUCCUCCUCCUGGGGCCGCUCAUCUGUGUCCUUCACCCUCAAGGUCACCUGCCGCUCAUCCUCAAGGUCACCCGUCCCUCAUCUGUGUCCUUCACCCUCAAGGUCACCUGCCGCUCAUCCUCAAGGUCACCCGCCCCUCAUCUGUGUCCUUCACCCUCAAGGUCACCUGCCGCUCAUCCUCAAGGUCACCCGUCCCUUAUCUGUGUCCUUCACCCUCAAGGUCACCUGCCGCUCAUCCUCAAGGUCACCCGCCCCUCAUCUGUGUCCUUCACUAAGUGGAUUGGAACUGUCAUGUCGAAAGUCUUACAGUCUCUGUCUCUCUCUCUCUCUCUCUGUCCCUCGAUGUCUCUCUCUCUCUGUCCCUCGAUGUCUCUCUCUCAUACACUAUGGACUCCCUUUACUCUAGCACUUCUUUUACAGAACUCGGUAACAUCCAACAGUACAGUUUAGUUUUGCUCUCUGAGUAGAUUCUGUUCUGGAACAGCCUCUAUCACAGGUGGGCUUUGUUCUUCUCAGUAGGUUCUGUUCUGGAACAGCCUCCAACACAGGUGGGCUUUGUUCCUCUCAGUAGGUUCCACUACGGAACAUUCCACCAGACAACGGAAGGCGGAGUGGUUUCGACUUCCGUUGAGGAACAUCCACUGGUGCAGGUCAGACGUGUUCCUGUGAUCGGCUCUGCAGUGUUCUUACUUUGCUAUAUUCUGCUGCAGCGUAGCUAACGCUAACGCUAACUAGCCUGCAUGUGUUCCCCAUCUGGCCCGGGUUUGACCUGGAUCAGCCCACCUGGGCGUGCACAGGACAGGUAUUGUGAGCGCUCCUCCCAUCUUCUCUCUCGCUCUCUCUCUCUCUCCCCUUUGGCCCCGCCCGGACUACGACACCAUUCCGGAACCUUCUCACCUCAGCUGUGCAGAGCAAAUGAGGACGCCUGCUGUGAAUCUGCCAAAGAUACAACGAUACUUAACUAGCCUUUUCUUUUUUACCCUGCUGGGUGGUGUGGGCGGAAGGGGUGGUGGGGGUCAGAAGAAGGAGGGGUCUCUGACCUCUGGAGGGUAGAGGUCAAGUUCGCCGUGGGCCCCAGCCUUGAGUCCGACCCUAACCCCACCAAGAGGGCAGGUGUAGAUUUUUAAUACGAUCCUUUGUCAUACAAACAAAUGAUACGAAUGUCAAGUUAAACACAAAAAACAGCAGCAAAUCUGAAGUCUGAAUUGCCUUUCUUUCUCCUGUGGUGCUGAGCUGAGCUGAGCUGAGCUGCGCUGCGCGCAAGGACGAUUUGAGUCUGUCUGGCCAGAGGAACGUGGGACGGGGAGCAGGGGACUUUCUGUGAUGGUGAAAGUAUUUUUGUGAAUUUCAGGUCUUGCGUCUCUCUCUCUCUCUCUCCUUUCUCUGUCUGUCUCUAUCUGUCCUUCUCAGUGGAACUUUGUGACGAUGUAACUGUGCAGUCCUGGUCUACGCACUGGACUAAACAAUGUUCUGUGACGAGCGGUAGCUCCUGGUUGAAGAGCUCGGGUUGUGGGGGUUGGAGGUCAUUUACUGCCCAGAGAGGGUCCCAGUGCUCACUGUGACCUUCUGUUGGGGGGGGGGGCCUUAUCUCCCCCCGACCCCCCAGUGGGGAAAUCCAGGGAGCAACUGAAGAAACGUCUCAAGAAAUUUGGACGGGCUCUAGGUCCGAGCAGCACUUCUGAAGAAGAGAUGGACUUCAGUUUGGAAAAUGAAUAACGAGUGAAAAUGGACUGAGCUUGGAUAAUGUGUGUGUCCAGGACAAUUUUAUGAAUUUUCGAGAAUGGAAUAAGGAACAAACAAAAAAAUACAACGAGGAAUCCUGAGUUAUUGUGUAACACCAGAGAACACAGAUGACAUUUUGAAAAGAAGUUAGUUGAAUACAACUUUUAUACUUUACUUUAUUCCAUGUUAUUUUUAUUUUUCAAAAAGCAGCAGACCUUAUUCAUAUGUGAUAUGAAAUUAUAAUGUAGACCCUUGAAUUACUAGAGCAAUGAUGGUACCAGUUCUGCAGUCAAACAAGUUUAGAGGAGUCAGGUGUUUGCUAUUGUUGUUGUUGUUUCCUGCUUGUCACAAUGCAUUCUGGUACUUGUAGUCCUGUAAUGACUUUUUUUUCUCCAAGUGAAGAGCAUUUUAUGGUGUUUUUAUCAGAUCAAUUCAUUUCUGUUUGUCAAUCAUGUGGAGAAGACAUGUUUUAAGUUCUAUGAAAUGUUCCAUGUUUUGGCAAAGGAAAGCAACAGGAAAAAAUGAAACACAAAUAAAGCUUUUUGUCUAUAGCAGAAACUA